CCCUUAGAUGUUCUGGGCUGCACGCGCGCUACACUGACGCACGCAACAGGUGCCUGCUCCGAGAGGACUGGGUAAUCAUUUGAGUGUGCGUCGUGAUGGGGAUAGAAUAUUGUAAUUAUUACUCUUCAACGAGGAAUCCCUAGUAAGCGCAAGUCAGCAGCUUGCGCUGAUUACGUCCCUGCCCUUUGUACACACCGCCCGUCGCUCCUACCGAUGGGUGAUCCGGUGAAUGAUUCGGACUUCAGCGGCUCCUCUGGGGUGCGCCGGAGAAAGUUUUGUGAACCUUAUCACUUGGAGGAAGGAGAAGUCGUAACA
RNAcentral lists this ribosomal RNA (315 nucleotides) under uncultured eukaryote. RNAcentral's name for it is "partial 18S ribosomal RNA". It matches the Rfam family "Eukaryotic small subunit ribosomal RNA", at positions 1470 to 1796 of the family's 1831-position model. The record is from RNAcentral.